GAUGAACGCUGGCGGCGUGCUUAACACAUGCAAGUCGAACGGAAAGGCUCCUGCUUGCAGGGGUACUCGAGUGGCGAACGGGUGAGUAACACGUGGGUGAUCUGCCCUGCACUUCGGGAUAAGCCUGGGAAACUGGGUCUAAUACCGGAUAGGACGAUGGUUUGGAUGCCAUUGUGGAAAGUUUUUCGGUGUGGGAUGAGCUCGCGGCCUAUCAGCUUGUUGGUGGGGUAAUGGCCUACCAAGGCGUCGACGGGUAGCCGGCCUGAGAGGGGGGACGGCCACAUUGGGACUGAGAUACGGCCCAGACUCCUACGGGAGGCAGCAGUGGGGAAUAUUGCACAAUGGGCGCAAGCCUGAUGCAGCGACGCCGCGUGGGGGAUGACGGCCUUCGGGUUGUAAACUCCUUUCGCUAGGGACGAAGCGCAAGUGACGGUACCUGGAGAAGAAGCACCGGCUAACUACGUG
This 465-nucleotide ribosomal RNA is filed under the name uncultured bacterium. Its description in RNAcentral is "partial 16S ribosomal RNA". It matches the Rfam family "Bacterial small subunit ribosomal RNA", at positions 28 to 507 of the family's 1533-position model. The record is from RNAcentral.